GGCGCAGUAGUCUAAGACACUGCAUUUCAGUGCAAGAGGUGUCACUGCAGUACCUGGUUCAAAUCCAGGCUGCAUCA
RNAcentral lists this transfer RNA (77 nucleotides) under Salmo salar (Atlantic salmon). It matches the Rfam family "tRNA". From Rfam's summary of the family: Transfer RNA (tRNA) molecules are approximately 80 nucleotides in length. Lineage: Eukaryota; Metazoa; Chordata; Actinopteri; Salmoniformes; Salmonidae. The record is from Rfam by way of RNAcentral.